GCGCCCGUAGCUCAAUGGAUAGAGCACUUGGCUUCGAACCAAGGGGUUGGGAGUUCGAAUCUCUCCGGGCGUA
RNAcentral lists this transfer RNA (73 nucleotides) under Chloroflexota bacterium. RNAcentral describes it as "Chloroflexi bacterium tRNA-Arg". It matches the Rfam family "tRNA". From Rfam's summary of the family: Transfer RNA (tRNA) molecules are approximately 80 nucleotides in length. Their secondary structure includes four short double-helical elements and three loops (D, anti-codon, and T loops). The record is from RNAcentral. Lineage: Bacteria; Bacillati; Chloroflexota. RNAcentral also lists the same sequence under 6 other names.